Molecule: long non-coding RNA, 6247 nt
Filed under: Homo sapiens (human)
Lineage: Eukaryota; Metazoa; Chordata; Mammalia; Primates; Hominidae
Description: HSALNT0025478
Source: RNAcentral
AGGCUGCAGUGAGCAACCUCCACUGCACCCUGGGCAACAAGAGUGAGACCCUGUCUCAAAAAACAAGCAAACAAACAAAGCAGAAGACAAAAAACCUUCCUUAAAUUAAGGUAUGCUUCAGUCUACCAAAUAAAAUGGCACAAUGUCAUAAAAAAGAAUGAAAUCAUGUCUUUUGCAGCAACAUGGAUGGAACUGAUGGGCAUUAUCCUGACUGAAAUAACUUAGAAACAGAAAGUCAAAUACUGCGUGUUCCCACGUAUAAGUGGAGGCUAAACCAUGUGUACACAAGGACACGCAGAGUGGAGGAAUAGAUAUUGAGACACAAAAAGUAGAAGGGUGGGGAGGUGGAGGUUGAAGAAUUACCUGUUGGGUACGAGGUUCACUAUUGGGUGACAGGUGCACUAAGAACCCCGACUUCCCCACUACACGACACAUGCUUUUCAGAAACCUGCACUUGUACCCACUAAAUAGAUUUUUUUUAGUUUAAAUAAAAUUAAAAAUAAAUUAAAAGUCACAAUGUGAUUCAAGAACUGAUUCAGGAUGUGCCACAUUUGGGAAUAUAUUUCAAAGACUGAGAAAUAAUUCUGUGGGCAAAAAUCGGCAAAUCAAGGCAUCUAUAAAUGAGAACAAUCAAGCCACCCACAGAUUUCUACUUAACGUCAUUUGAUAGAAAUGUUUUUGUUUGUUUUUUGAGACAGAGUCUCACUCUGUUGCCCAGGCUGGAGUACAAUGGCAUGAUCUCGGUUCACUGCAACCUCCACCUCCCUGGCUCAAGCAAUUCUCCUGCCUCAGCCUCCCAAGUAGCUAAGACUACAGGUGUGCACAACCAUGCCUGGCUAUUUUCUGUAUUUUUAGUAGAGACAGAGUUUCCCCAUGGUGGCCAGGCUGGUUUUGAACUCCUGGGCUCAAGUGAUCCACCUGCCUGGAUCUCCCAAAGCACUGUUAUUACAGGUGUGAGCCACUGCACCAGGCCUGCUUGAAAUCUUAAAGCAAAGUUUGACUUAAACAUGCAGUCAACAUUCAUUCAAGCCAAAGCUCAUGAUAAAGCUAUUUUUAAAACAGAUAAGAACUUUUAAAAUACCAUUCUCAUGACUACUUUUUGGAAAAGAAAAAUAAAAAAACAACCCCGUUAGAGUAUAAGCUUAAGCCAAUUAUGUAAUCAAAGGAGAAGAUAUUGAAAAAUGAUGUUGGUGGGCACUGAUUUUUUUUUCACAUUUUACAAUUAACUUUUAUCAAACUAAUGGAUGCACAUGCUUUUUAAAAACCGCUAAGCACUCAGCCUUUCUGUGGGCAAUAUGCUAGUUAAACUCCAUUUUCCACUAUCCCUACUUGGGGUGCUUAUGUGUCUAAUUAAACUGCUCAUAUCCAAGCCUUCUUUGCAGACAGGAGUGGCCAUCUGUCAUAAAGCUGGCCAGAGAGAUACUGGCAGAAGCCAUUGAGUCACUUUUUUAAGGAACCUCUGACAGAGUUCCACUUCCAGAAAGGCAGUGUGAGGAGCUCAGUGUACCCAUUCCAAGAAAAAAAAAAUCCUAACUCAUGAUAAUUGUAAAAAUAACAACCAUUUAAUUUACCUGAAAAUUGUCGAAACGGCAGGCAACAAAUGAAGAAAUCAUUAUUGCGUAAAAUCUACGAAAUUCCUCUGUAAGAACUGUGAGAGUCUUACCCUUGAACCUGACCCCGCCCACUCUUCUCAGCAUGACGGAAGCUCCACUCUGGUUUUAAAGGUCCUAUAAAAGAGGAAGACUUCCUUGGAAUGUACCUUGUAGACUUUGUCCUUCCUCAUCUACUGCAGAACCUGGGGGUACAAAAGGCAUCGUGAACCUAUGAGGACAAAAGCCACACACUAUCAACGACUGCGCAAGAACAGCGAGAGUCUGGAACUGCGGUGACCUCAUGAGCUGAUGCCCUUUCUCUCGACAGCGAACAACAAUAGCCUUGCAUAAGUCACUGUACUGUGUGCUUUUUUGUCAUAUGCAGCCAACUGAAAAUCCUAAACAAACACCUGCCCCCUCCACCCCAUCCCACGCUCAGAAGCACCUGCUUUUAGCACAUUCAGCAGCAGUGGGAGGGGUUGCUGCUUAUCCCUUUACACUUAAAUUGGCUUAUACUGCUAUUUCUUGAUUUUUCCAUUUUAGACAUCAUUUACUAACUGAUAAGACCAUUGCAGAUGCAGUUAUUUUACACCUACCCUUCAACUCCCUUCCACCCAUUUCCCCAACAUAAUUACGAUUUUACAUUAAACCAUUCAAUGUUUACAAAUUUAUCACGUUAAUGUUCCUCAGUGCAAAGCCAAGUAUUGAACUAAGAUUUUUUCUCCCACUGUCUUAUUUUUUCAUGAGUUAAUAAAUCCUUCUUUUUCAUAAUUGCCUGCAUUUUCUUGUUAUGUCUGGAUACACCAUGACACAGUCUAUCAAGCCAUCAAUUCUAUGAGGGUCUCCCUCCAGACCACCCUCGGGGCACUCAAUCCCCCCACACAUUCUGCACUGGUUCCUCUAGAGGUCACUCUUCUGAAGCUUCUCCUUGCCCCUCGCCUUAGUUGGAGCCAAGAUUUCCUGGACUCUGUACCUUUGUCUUUCUUCAUUUGCUCUCUUGUCUUGCUGAAGCACAUCUCCCACGAGCUUCCUGAAAAAGGCAUCAUCAGGCAAAUGUUCUGAGCCCUUCAGGCUGGCCAGUGUUGAUGCUUUGUUCUCACACUUGAUAAUAGUUUAUCUAGGUUGAAAAAUUUAGGUUGACAAUACUUUUUUCUUUUUUUUUUUUUUUUUUUUUUUUUGUAGAGAUGAGGUCUCCCUAUAUUGCCCAGGCUGGUCUCAAAUGCCUGGGCUCAAGAGAUCCUCCUGCCUCGGCCUCCCAAAGUGCUGGGAUUACAGGAGUGAGCCACCAUGCCUGACAACAAUACUUUUUUCUUAAAAUUUUGAAAGCGUUGCUCCUUUUUCUUCUGGCACCUAAUGUCGCUUUUGAGAAACACAAUGCCAUUCCUAUUCUUGUUGUUUUUGGUGAUGUUUUUUCUUUGUUAGUUUUCUUCUCUUCUCUGGAUGCUUACACGGUCAUUUCUUCCUUGGUUCUAGAAUUUCAGAGCCACGUGUUUCUUUUAUGUACUGACACUUAAGGAGGCAUUUCAAUCUGAGAUCAGAUAUCACCAGUUCUAAGAAAGUCUUCCCCAUGAUUUCUUUGAUAAUUUCCUCUCCUCUGUUUUCUCCUCCCUCUCUUCCUUUAAAUCCUAAUAAUUGACUUUUAAAAAUCUCCCUGCCUUGGCCGGAGACACCUGUAAUCCCAGCACUUUGGGAGGCCGAGGCGGGCGGAUCACGAGGUCAGGAGAUCGAGACCAUCCUGGCCAACACGGUGAAACCCUGUCUCUACUAAAACUACAAAAAAAUUAGCUGGGUGUGGUGGCGGGCGCCUGUAGUCCCAGCUACUCAGGAGGCUGAGGCAGGAGAAUGGCAUGAACCUGGGAGGUGGAGGUUGCAGUGAGCCGAGAUCGCGCCACUGCACUCCAGCCUGGGCGACAGAGCAAGACUGCGUCUCAAAAAAAUAAUAAUAAAAUAAAAUAAAAAAUCUCCCUGCCUUGAUCCACCCAGGCUCUUUUGUCUGUUCAUCAUUUGGAUCUAUCUUCUGACAGAUUCUAUUUACUUUAAUUUCCAGCUCUACUAUUUUCUUAUUAAUUUUGGUUCAUAAUUUCAACUUCCAAGAGUUCUAGUUUUCAGACUACUCUUACUUUAUAGAAUCCUGCUGUUGCUUAUCUAUCUCUUUAAGUAUACUGUUAGCUUUUUUCUUUUGGUUUCAUUUGUCCAUUGCAUUAUGUUUUCUCACCUUUAUUUUCUCGUCUCUUGCACAUUUUCCUUAAAUAUCUCUAGAUCCUUACCUGUUAAUUUAACAGUGAGGCACUAAAAUAACGGAUUAAAGCUCUGAGAACAUAGAUGAAGCUUACAACCUGAAGUGGGGAGCUUCUCUUUCAGAGCUGGGCAUGAAACUAUCCAUUUUAUUGGGGAUGCUCCAAAUGUCAGGAUAAGGAGGUAUUUUCUCUGGAUACACCCAGGUUCUCUGGAGAGGAAGCUAUUAACCUUCUUUAGCAAUUGGCCUCUGUCUGCUGAUGUCCUAUGGUCAGGCAGGUCGACUUUUAUUUUUUUUUUUUUGAGUCUCGCUGUUACCCAGGUUGGAGUGCAGUGGUGCAAUCACAGCUCACUGGAGCCUUGACCUCCCAGAUUAGGUGAUCUUCCCACCUCAGCCUCCAGAGUAGCUGGGACUACAAGCAUGCGCCACCACACCCGGCUAAAUUUUUGUGUGUUUUUUUUUGUUUGCUUGUUUGUUUCUUUGUUUGUUUUGUAGAGACGGUUUCGCCAUGUUGCCCAAUCUGGUCUUAAACUCCUCGAAUCAAGAGAUUCAUCCAUUUUGGCACCCCAAAGUGCUAGGCUUACAGGUGUGAGCCACCAGGCAAAGCCAGGCAGGUUGAAUUUUAAUCCCUUUUGUACCUACGCUGGCUUCUUAAUUUCAUCUCCCUCUGCACACACUACAGGUAGUAUCUUAAUCUCAUCUCCCUCUGCACACUCUAUAGGUAAUAUCUUAAUCUCAUCUCCCUCUGUUCAUACUACAGGUAAUAUCUUAAUCUCAUCUCCCUCUGCUCACACUAUAGGUAGUAUCUUAAUCUCAUCUCCCUCUGCACAUACUACAGGUAGUAUCUUAAUCUCAUCUCCCUCUGCACAUACUACAGGUAGUAUCUUAAUCUCAUCUCCCUCUGCACACCCUACAGGUAGUAUCUUAAUCUCAUCUCCCUCUGCUCAUACUACAGGUAGUAUCUUAAUCUCAUCUCCCUCUGCACACACUAUAGGUAGUAUCUUAAUCUCAUCUCCCUCUGCUCAUACUACAGAUAGUAUCUUAAUCUCAUCUCCCUCUGCUCAUACAACAGGUAGUAUCUUAAUCUCAUCUCCCUCUGCACACACUAUAGGUAGAGUAAUUUCUUCCACUCCAUAAAAUUUGUUGUCAUAUAGAGUGAAAAAUUUAGUACCUACGGUGGACCCUUGAACAACAUGGAUUUGAACUGUGCAGGUGCACUUAUAUGUGGAUUUUCUUCUGCCUCUGCCAUUCCUGAGAUAGCAAGACCAACCUCUCCUCCUCUUGCUCAGCUUACUCAGUGUGAAGAUGAUGAGAAUAAAGACCUUUAUGAUGAUCAACCUACUUCCAUUUAAUGAAUAAUAAAUGUAUUUUAUCUUCCUUAUGAUUUUCUUAAUAACAUUUUCUAGUCUCUAGCUUACUUUAUUGUAAGAAUAUAGUAUAUAAUAUGUAUGACAUUGAAAAUAUGUGUUAAUCAGCUGCUUGUGUUAUUGGUAAGUCUUCCUGUCAACCAUAAGGUAUUAGUAAAGUUUUGGGGGAGUUGGAAUUUACAUGUAGCUUUUCCCCUCUGUGUGUGUGUUUGGGGCUGUCGAUGCCCUUAACCUCUACACUGUUAAGAAUAAACUGUGUACUGUUGGUGGGAGUAAGCAAUGGAAGAUUAUAUUCAUAAUAUCGGAUUGGUAAAUGCCUGUUAAAUUAAGAUAUGAAAUGCAGAAUCCAUAAGAUACUGGUACCUACGUAAAAUUAGGCAUUUUUCAAGGCAAUAAAAAGUCCAAUUGGAAGUAUGUUAUUAGCAGCAACAGGCCAGUAUUAUAUAUAUCUAAAAGGUUUGUACAGAUCAGUUCAAUGGCCAGUUACAUAUGUCUAAAAGGAUUUGUACAGGUCAACUCAAUAAAGAUUAAUAUUCUGUUAGAAAGCAAAAUGGGCAAAUGACUAAAACACGCAGUUCGCCGACUGUGGUGGCUUAUGCCUGGAAUUCCAGCUCUUAGGGAGGUAGAGGCAGACAAAUAGCUUAAGCCCAGGAAUUCGAGACCUACCUGGGCAAUAUAGUGAGACCCCUUUCUCCACAAAAAAGAAAAAAAAAGUGUAAACCUGCAGUUCACAGAAAAGAAAAAUACACAAAGGACUUAUAAAAUGUCUUUAAAAUAUGCUUGAUAUACUGAUAAUUAAAUACAUAGAAAUUAAAACAAGAAAUCAGCCAGGCAUGGUGGGGACUGCCUGUCAUCUCAGCUACUCAGGAGGUUAAAGCAGGAGGAUCACUUGAACCCAGCAGUUCAAGGCCAGCCCAGGCAACACAGCGAGGCCCCAUCUCCAAAAAAUAAUAAUCAUCUAUUAGCAUUUCAAAAAAUAAAGAUUAAGAGAUUUGGGGCCAGACGCAGUGGUUCACGCCUGCAAUCCCAGCACUUUGGGAGGCCGAGGCGGG